CUCGUGUCAACGCAAAACCAGGACAAGCAGAAUAAACAAAGAGAUGCUGGCAGAAGGCUGGGUGUGUCGCCUCAGGUCUACAGAUGUGCUGGGGCCACACUGAGGAAGGCCCUCGUGUGCAUGCAGGGCGCUGGCCGGAGCGCCUUAGGACGCAUCUGAAAACUUCUCAUUGCCUCAGGGUUUAAAAUAGCCACACUUCCUGCUCCUCGGAGAGGGUAUGCACAGAAUGUGGGUGACUCACCGUCGGUGGUUUUCGAUGUGUCUGUCAUAAGGAGGUAUCAUCAAAAGCCCGGCCUGUUUCAGAUGUUAUUUUUUUCCACCCUCAGCCAUGCGGUGCUGGGAGAGCAGAAUGCCUAAACCCAGUGUUUGUUUUGAGCGCAGAAAGUGAAGACCAAAUCAAUUGUGCCGCAGCAAGUAAAAACUGAAUGCGUGAGGGGGAAAAAACCUGCAAACAGUGUGAAGACUGAGUUUCAAGGUUCUUGUUUUCAAAAAGUUUAAUUAUAUUUCAACUAAAGCCAAACUGUCAAAACAUGGGAGAGUGAUCUGCCUGCUUUGAAAAUGCAUUAGCCUUCUUAUGUAAAAGCCAAUAAUUGAUAUCCAAGAGGAAACCAGAGCUGUGGGGGUCGGAGGAAGAAGGAAGACAGCCUCUUAGAACUGCUCAAACGACACUUCCCUAUCAACUACGUGCAAAGCUUUAGAUCCAGACUCCACUCAGCCACUUCCUCCAAAAAUGGACCGUCGGUGGUUAAGUCUUUGCCCUCUUCAUCUCAGUUCCCAUUCCUGCCUCUCCUUCAGUAAUCUCCUAGAACUUUCUAGUUUCUAGCACAGAGAUUCUUAAUCGUGUUCUUUUGAUGGCUGAGAAGUAUGUGUAUUCUUAAACCACUCUCAGAUUAAAUUAAGCUUGCACUACAUAAAAAAUAUUGAUGGAAGCCAUAUAACACAUAUUUGGGAUAGAGCUAGAGCAGGCAUCGAACAGAUCAUACCAGUUGGAAUACGGUAUCAAAGAGCUGGGAAUUCCCGGCCUACAGCCUGGGUCCGGGAAGGCAGCCGCCAUUUUCUUCCUUCUUGGG
RNAcentral lists this long non-coding RNA (1070 nucleotides) under Homo sapiens (human). RNAcentral's name for it is "HSALNT0299171". Lineage: Eukaryota; Metazoa; Chordata; Mammalia; Primates; Hominidae. The record is from RNAcentral.